AUUGAACGCUGGCGGAAUGCUUUACACAUGCAAGUCGAACGGCAGCACGGACUUCGGUCUGGUGGCGAGUGGCGAACGGGUGAGUAACAUAUCGGAACGUGUCCAAUAAUGGGGGAUAACUAAUCGAAAGGUUGGCUAAUACCGCAUACGCCCUACGGGGGAAAGCAGGGGAUCUUCGGACCUUGCGUUAAUGGAGCGGCUGAUGUCUGAUUAGCUAGUUGGUGAGGUAAAGGCUCACCAAGGCGACGAUCAGUAGCUGGUCUGAGAGGACGACCAGCCACACUGGAACUGAGACACGGUCCAGACUCCUACGGGAGGCAGCAGUGGGGAAUUUUGGACAAUGGGCGCAAGCCUGAUCCAGCCAUUCCGCGUGAGUGAAGAAGGCCUUCGGGUUGUAAAGCUCUUUCGCAAGGGAGGAAAACUUACUUUCUAAUAAAGAGUGAGGUUGACGGUACCUUGAUAAGAAGCACCGGCUAACUACGUGCCAGCAGCCGCCGUAA
Molecule: ribosomal RNA, 500 nt
Filed under: uncultured bacterium
Lineage: Bacteria
Description: partial 16S ribosomal RNA
Rfam family: Bacterial small subunit ribosomal RNA
Source: RNAcentral